AGAACAUGAGAAUGGUCAACUUUCUGCAUGAUGACCUUGAGCAAAGGUCCUAAAACAACACUUAGCCAGGGUUAUCCAGCUUUUGUUCAUGACAGAGGUUCAUCUCAGCAAAAAUUUUAAAUCAUCAUUUAGUUCAUACAUAGUCUCAUAAUGCAAGCUCAACUAGGUCAUAAACAACACAUAAAAAGAAGAGGACACAAUUAUAUUAACUUGAACUGGCUCAACUCAGUCUAUUUGCUCAUUAAAGAUUAUUCUGAAGCAGACAAGUAGAACACAUUUCAGUCAAAAGCAUCAUCUAAAAACUUCACAUUAAUACCUUGUAGACAGCAGGAUGCAU
Molecule: unclassified non-coding RNA, 337 nt
Filed under: Hevea brasiliensis (rubber tree)
Lineage: Eukaryota; Viridiplantae; Streptophyta; Magnoliopsida; Malpighiales; Euphorbiaceae
Source: RNAcentral